Molecule: long non-coding RNA, 665 nt
Organism: Zophobas morio
Lineage: Eukaryota; Metazoa; Arthropoda; Insecta; Coleoptera; Tenebrionidae
Exons: 3
Source: RefSeq, a predicted model, not a curated record
UAGUACUAUUUCUUCAGAAAUUCCAGUUGGAUUACUUUAUCCAGUUUGGACCUUCAUUUUUCAUACUAAUAUACUUCCUGACUAUUAUGAUCUACGUGCCCUCAACUAAAAAAAACAUACAAAAAUAUGUUCAAGACUUGGAGCGUUGGAACACUAUAAAAUAUGACAAUAAUUCAGUAUGCCAACAAAACAAAAAAGAAUUAUCUCAAGCAGUUGCGUACAUGAUCAGUAUUGUGUUCUGUGGAGUAAUUUGUGGAAUAUCAUUUGCUUUUCCAUCGGAAGAAGACAAAGAUAUUUUUUACCCUUUUUCUUUAUCUCAAGAGUUUUUUCCCGAGUUGGAAUAUUUUGUGACAUGGGGAUUUAAGUGUUGUUGCGUGCUUAUAAGUUUUGUAGGAGCAAUAUCACCAGCACAUUACCUUGUUUACGCGUUACUUCAUUUUCAAUUACAAGCAAACGUGUUGCUGCUCAACAUAGAAAACAUCAACAAAAAUUACGAGAAACAUGAAUUUCCAGACAAGGAAAUGCAAAAUGUUAUCAAAAAGAGAUUGCUGUUGUGUUUGAAACAUCAUAUUAGCAUUUCCAGAUCCACUAGAACCGCAUUCAGAAGAGCAGAAAAUUCGGUGUUGGUUUUAGAGUUGGAAGGAUGUGUUUUGUUUAUAAGUCUU